Molecule: non-coding RNA, 3129 nt
Organism: Malus domestica (apple)
Lineage: Eukaryota; Viridiplantae; Streptophyta; Magnoliopsida; Rosales; Rosaceae
Source: RefSeq, a predicted model, not a curated record
GUUUUAUUUUAUUUAUUUUUUUCAAAUCAGUGUGAACUCUGAAAAAUGACAUGUCGUCCUUGGAGCUAUGACUUGUGCUCGUCGGCCAUGGAGGAGCCACCGUCGGCCACCGCCACGAAACCACCGUCGACAGAAGAGGACUAAGGCUCACACUCAGACUCAGAGCACUGAGGACCAUGAGAAACGAGGUCGACCUGCCGAUCGGUGACUUCGAAGAAACGAGGUCGACCUGCGCUGGACCUUCCGCCGCAGAAACUCGCCGGUAUCUCACCUUGAUUGGUACUUCAAUUCCCGAACUAAUUACGAUCGAAUAACCAUAUUGGAAACGCCAUUAGAAAUUAUCCACUAGUUAUUAAAUAGUUGAGUUGGUUGGUUUGUAAUUUCCUUUAUGCUUGAGUGCUAGACUGACAAACCUCAUUUAUUUUCCUCUUGUUCUGCUUCUAAGAGUGCUUCGGGGAUACUGUGUUUGGAAAAUGCAAGUGUUAGUAUCAGCUUUCUAUUUAGUUUAUUUUCUCUUAAGCUGGUGUUUAGUAUUUUGCACUAUGCUUUUGCUUUUCGAUGAUGAGAAUCCAUUGAUUGAGCUUACUGAUGAUGAAGAGGAGGAUGCAACAAACUUGGUACGAUACCAAUUCCUUGUGCAUCUGUUAAAAAGGCUGUAGCCUGUAGGGGAGAGGAUUGUUUCCCGCCACUGAUAAUCGAAAGCCAUACUUUGUAAAUCAUAGCAAAAAUGUUGUGUUAUCUUUGUCUUGCUUGGUAUUUGUCCAUGUUAGUCAAAGCAUGCUUUCCUUCAAGUUUACUGUCCUGUUUAUAGUGUCUUUUUGCCUGCCACAACUCUGCGUGUUGAUUUAUGUUGGUUUGGACGAAAAUAUACAAAAGAGGACGCGAUUCUGAAUUUUCCAGGAAGUAUUUGAACACAACAGACGAGAUAUAACUCUUGCCAUCAUGAAGAAUUACCCGUUACUUCUAUGUAAGUUCAUGGAUGACAAAACAAAAGUACCAUCACUUAUUGAAUAUAUCGUGCGUAUGAAUCCUGAGCUACGUUCACUCCACUUGAGUGUCCCUGCGUCACUGAAAAGUGAAAACUUGUUUUUCCUUCCAAUUACCAAAAUCUGUUGUCAUGUCAAGUUUGUUAACUGCUCUACAAGUUCUAGCUUCUGGGGUAGAAUUUCUUAAUUUCACCAGAUUAGGAUACCUCUUUGGUUGUGACGGACUUGAGUGAUUUUUUUGUCCUUCAUUCGUACCCUACGCUGUCCAUGCUUGUUUCCUUUUUCUGUUUGCAGCAUAUUGAUAAACACUCUCUCCUUGAUUCGGGGAUAUUGUGCUGUCUCAUUCAUAUUCUCAAUGCUCAUCUGGAUCCUGAUGAAGCCAAUCAAAAGCAAAAGGCUACUGAUCGUGAUGAACCAUUUCCAACUGAGAAAGAUUAUGACGGUGAUGCAGGUCAGGUCCAUCGGCUUGAGGUAGCUUUUACUUAAUGGUACAUAAAACUACACAUGUUUGUUACACAUUGACAUAUGCAAAGUCUGAUUUUGAAAACACAGUAGGCUUAAUAGCUGUUACGUUGUGUUUGGUAUUAGUAGAACCUUGUAGCAUUUUGAAGCGCGACAUUUUUUGAACAUGCCAGGAUUUGUUGUUAUUCUAACAUCUGUCUUUUUCCCUGUUUGAGGUGUAUAUUUAACAUAUUUGAACUACAGCCAGUAGUAGCGCGUGGCAUUUUUUUCAUACUGAACUUAAUCUUUGCUUGUACGUUACUGUGCUCUUGUAUUUGUUAGGUUAUCGGUUCAUGGUAUGUUUUUAACCUUCUUUUUGUUUCUAACCUAUAAUUAUGCGGGUACAUGGGAUUGCUGUGCAUAUUAUGAAAGCACUGGCAAACCAUACUUUGGCAGCACAAAGUUUGAUUGAGGAUGAUUCUCUUCAGUUGCUCGUUCAGAUGGUUGCGAAUGGCUCUUUGACAGUCUUCUCUCGACAUAAGGAGAGCCCGGUUCUGCUGCACAGCCUUCCCUAUUUGUAAAGACAUAGUUGGAUAGCAACAUUUUCCAGAGUCAUAAUCUUAAAUUAGGUUUUAGAACCCGUAAUUCGGAUUUUGUUUGUGCUAAGUUGUGGUUAUCUUUCCAGAUUCUUGUUCUUCUCUUGGUCAAUGACAACAGGAGCACAGCAAAAUAUAUUUGCAAACAUCAUCUGGUAUGGUAAUAUAUUAUAUGCGUGAUUCUACAUAUACCAUGGGCAUCAUGGAUUUGCCGCUUGUAUGUGUGGAAGUAUCAUAUAGACCUGCCGGUAGAAGCUGGUGGUGUCUGGCUUAGGGAGGAUAUACGUAAUGCCGAACAAAGAAAAGCUCUUUCAUAUAUGUUUCUGAAAGGUACCAAACGUUACUUUCUCAUUUGUAGCAUCCGACUUCAUAGAAAAGAAUGAAGGGGGCAGGGAAAUGGAAAAUGGGAGAGAAUCCAUUUAUUUGAUCCUAAUGGGAGAGAAUUCAUUAGGAUGUGUUCUGUUUCCUUUUUUGUUACUUUCCAUUCAUUAGGAGAUGUGCUUGGCUGGUAAAAGAACUGGUUCUACUGUAUACUCCUCUCUUUUACCAGCUUCUAUUGAACGCUUGUUACCUUUCAGAACAUAUAUGUAAGAGUUUUUCUUUGUUAAGUAGUUAGCUCUGAUGGUUUCAUCCUUUCAUCAGGUACAUUUCUUUUACUUUAUGUCUGUGUGAACCCUUAUUUCGAUUGAAUGUUACUUCUUCCUCCAAAAUAAAAUAGAAAAUAGAGGUCUUAUUUUUCCUUGAAAUUUACGUUUUCAGAGGACGUGAUUGUGGGUCAUGAAAUGUUGCCAUGAUGAAGAAUGACCUGUUACUUAAGUUCAUGGAUGACAAAACAAAAGUACCAUCACUGAUUGAAUAUAUCGUUCGUAUGAAUAUUGAGAGCUACGUUUACUCCACUUUAUCGACCUUGUGUCACUGAAAACUUGUUUUUCCUCAUUUGAUUUUUGUUGGAUCCAGUUACCAAAAUCGGUUGUCAAUGUCAUUCAUGUCUGAGUUGGAGACCUCUAUUUGGUUUUAACUUUGAUUUUUUGGUCCUUCAUCCGUACCGUAUGCUGUUCAUACCGUAUGCUUUUCAUACUUGUUUCCUUUUUCUGUUUGCAGCCUAU